AAACCGCUUAGAGGCAAACGGGUGGAUCCGCAAAGUCGGCCCGGGGAAUUCAACUUGCCGCUUGGGCUGCGGACGUUGGGUCAGGGAUCCGUAAAGACCCGCCUGGCGUUCGGCAGUCGUCGGCGAGUGCACUUUCCUCGGGUAGAGCGCCACGACCGGUUUCGGAGCGGUCAUAAGCCGGCUGGGAAGGUGACUUCCUUUUCGGAGGAAGUGUUAUAGCCCGGCCAGGUCGGCUCGUUCCGAGACCGAGGAUUUGCCGCGUCUCACUGCCCUCGGCUCUCUUGGUGCGUUCGACUGGGGAAGCACUGCUUGCAGUUCUCUCCGACUGCGUGCCUUGAUCGGUCGGGAAGCACGAGGCGCUACGGGUCAGUGGCGAAUCGGUCGGUCCUCCACCCGACCCGUCUUGAAACACGGACCAAGGAGUCUAACAUGUGCGCAAGUCAUGGGGUUCUGUACGAAACCUAAAGGCACAAUGAAAGUGAAGGUCAACCUCCGGUCGGCCUAGGUAGGAUUCCCGCGAGGGGCGCACUACCGGCCCGUCUCAACCACGUCGUUGGUGGGGCGGAGCAAGAGCGUACACGUUGGGACCCGAAAGAUGGUGAACUAUGCCUGAGUAGGACGAAGCCAGAGGAAACUCUGGUGGAGGUCCGUAGCGAUUCUGACGUGCAAAUCGAUCGUCAAACUUGGGUAUAGGGGCGAAAGACUAAUCGAACCAUCUAGUAGCUGGUUCCCUC
Molecule: ribosomal RNA, 734 nt
Filed under: Brachidontes variabilis
Lineage: Eukaryota; Metazoa; Mollusca; Bivalvia; Mytilida; Mytilidae
Description: eukaryotic LSU rRNA
Rfam family: Eukaryotic large subunit ribosomal RNA
Source: RNAcentral